This 473-nucleotide ribosomal RNA is filed under the name uncultured bacterium. RNAcentral's name for it is "partial 16S ribosomal RNA". It matches the Rfam family "Bacterial small subunit ribosomal RNA", at positions 28 to 507 of the family's 1533-position model. The record is from RNAcentral.
GAUGAACGCUAGCGGCAGGCCUAAUACAUGCAAGUCGAACGGGCGGUAGCAAUACCGCUAGUGGCGCACGGGUGCGUAACGCGUAACCAACCUGCCCAGAUCUGGGGGAUAGCCCGCCGAAAGGCGGAUUAAUACCGCAUAAACCCACAGUGUGGCAUCACAUAAUGGGUAAAGAUUUAUCGGAUCUGGAUGGGGUUGCGUAGCAUUAGCUAGUUGGCGGGGUAAUGGCCCACCAAGGCGACGAUGCUUAGGGGACCUGAGAGGGUGAUCCCCCACACUGGCACUGAGAUACGGGCCAGACGCCUACGGGAGGCAGCAGUAGGGAAUAGUGGGCAAUGGGCGAGAGCCUGACCCAGCCAUGCCGCGUGCCGGAUGAAGGCCUUCUGGGGUGUAAACGGCUUUUCUCAGGGAAGAAAACGGGGAUGCGUCCUCAACUGACGGUACCUGAGGAAUAAGCACCGGCUAACUCCGUG